UACCGUAGUCCACGGUUCACCUCAACGCCCUCUGUGGGUUGUCUGACUCACAGUGAGAUCAGUCACACAACCUCCUAGAGUGUGUCGAGGUUCGUGAUCUACCGUA
Molecule: microRNA precursor, 106 nt
Filed under: Pristionchus pacificus
Lineage: Eukaryota; Metazoa; Nematoda; Chromadorea; Rhabditida; Neodiplogasteridae
Description: microRNA ppc-mir-67 precursor
Gene: ppc-mir-67
Source: miRBase by way of RNAcentral